Molecule: long non-coding RNA, 1001 nt
Organism: Oreochromis aureus
Lineage: Eukaryota; Metazoa; Chordata; Actinopteri; Cichliformes; Cichlidae
Source: Ensembl
ACCGAGAUAAGAAACUUGUUUGAUUGGAUUCAAGUGAUGAAACUUUCAUCAUCAGUGUUUGCAAUCAGAGCUCUCAGAAUUUUCUGUGUGCACAUCUGCAGCAGAGUAAAGUGCAGACCUUCAUGAAGCCUGAAGGUUACGAAGCCUUCCCUUUAGAGGCCUUGGCCCCGACAUAACGAGAAAACCUAUUUAUAGUAAUUUUCUUGGCACUACACAUGUCACAAACAUGCACGUCAAAUUAGGCGGUAGCUAAACUCUACCUGCAAGACUUUUUUUUUAUAGCUCUCUCCAUCUUUGUCCUUCCUCAGAAUUUCUCCCAUAUGGGAGGUCAGUGAAUGGGCUCUUAAGGCCGUCCCGUCCAAAAGGGUGUGUCAUUUGGCUCAACCUCGGGCGCCUGCAGCUGGUUGGCAGCCCGCCCGCCCGUUGUUGGUCCCUGUAAGCAGAGGCAUACAGACAGCUGUUGCCACUUCACGGAUCUGCCAGCUCGCCCAGCCAAAGCGAAGGCAGGUUCUGGAGAAAUCCAGGCACAAAUCUAAAUAUGCACAAGUAAUCCACCUGCCCUCUAAAGCAUCGGCACACAUAGAGCUACUCGCCACUCCGAAGAAUGACCAUCCCGAGUUCAAAGGAGACCGCCCAAUGUGCUGGCCCGUUUCAAAAGCUGCAAAAAGCUACAUAACCAGCCAAAGACUGCUUGAUCUGUCCAGUCCUAAAGAGAGGAAGGCUCUGUAUGAGGGAUAUGACCCAUACAUGAUCAGCCGGGCAGCCCGAUCAGCCAGCCCCUCUCCCAGAAUACAACAGCUCUGUUUGCCUCUGUCUCGCAAAUGCAGCUCAGAGUAAGAGCAGUGACGGCAAACACCGGUCCCCAGAGAGUUGUUGAUUGUUCCAUUUUCCUUGCCGAAGACUGUAAUCGUGAUGAAGUGUUUUCCUUGUGAAAUAAUGACUAAGCUUUGUUAUUUGCUCUGCUGCGUGAAUAGCUAUGCCCAUAGGUAAAAGACUACUGC